This 432-nucleotide long non-coding RNA is filed under the name Chrysolophus pictus (golden pheasant). RNAcentral's name for it is "lncRNA (ENSCPIG00010004596.1)". The record is from RNAcentral. Lineage: Eukaryota; Metazoa; Chordata; Aves; Galliformes; Phasianidae.
GGAGGGAAGACCGGGAUGUGUCUGCGGCUGUGUAGAGCUGGAGGUCGGUGUGGCUUUUUCCAUGCCGAAGUUCCAGCAACCUGCUGGCAAGAUUGCUGUGAGCCAUGGUCUGAGUCUCAGAGAUGACUUUUCACACCAUCAAGGCCACUUUCUCAGCUUAUUGACAGCUUUAUGAGCGCUGUUGGAAAAGCCCCAGCUUCCUUCGUUCCUCGGCUCCGGCUUUCCGUCGGGCGAGAGCGACAGCUGGCUGGGGUUGGGGCACAGGAUGGAGCUGUUACUUUCCCUGCUCAGAAGGGGGCAAUCAGCAAAACCUCAGGGCUCCAAGGGACACGAGAGUCUUGCUUUACACGUGCACAGAGCAGCCUUGGAAGGAGUGAAAUGAAGAACUGGCAAGGAAAAUUGAAGGUGUUGUGCUGUCCCGAGCAUGCAGGC